Molecule: long non-coding RNA, 497 nt
Organism: Mugil cephalus (flathead mullet)
Lineage: Eukaryota; Metazoa; Chordata; Actinopteri; Mugiliformes; Mugilidae
Exons: 4
Source: RefSeq, a predicted model, not a curated record
GCGGAUGGGAUAUCCCGCACGGCGGAUACGAAUGGUCUCCAUCAUCCCAGAGUACCUCAGCUGACGCACACACAGCUCCCUGUCAAACAGCUGAUCGGAAACAAAAAGAAAAAGGUUGUCUGGAUGGUGUUGGACGUCGGACACUCACCAUGGGUUUCUUGUACUCGUUGGGUUUGAUGCAGCGGACGAAGAACGGCUGACAGACGCCCAGAGUCCUCAUCAGCAGCUCCAGAGACCUUUUAAACUGGCUGCUGAGGGAGGAGAAGUGGCAGGUCGACCUACUGAACUACAAGGAGCAUAAGAAGACAGAAACUACACACAGACACACACACAGAGGGAAGACAGAGAAGACAGGAGUGUUACCUUUAAGCUGGAAAGUUACUGAGAAACAUACCAGGUUCACCUGGAUUCUCCUGCUUCUAACAUCAACUCUGAGGAUAAAGAACUUGUUAUGAUCAACUAAGGAGCCACGGUGGUCAUAAUGCUUUGGCUGAACG